UACGUAGGUGGCAAGCGUUGUCCGGAUUUACUGGGCGUAAAGGAUGCGUAGGCGGACAUUUAAGUCCGAUGUGAAAUACCCGAGCUUAACUUGGGUGCUGCAUUUGAAACUGGGUGUCUAGAGUGCAGGAGAGGUAAGUGGAAUUCCUAGUGUAGCGGUGAAAUGCGUAGAGAUUAGGAAGAACACCAGUGGCGAAGGCGGCUCACUGGACCAUUACUGACGCUGAUGCACGAAAGCUAGGGGAGCAAACAGG
Molecule: ribosomal RNA, 253 nt
Filed under: uncultured bacterium
Lineage: Bacteria
Description: partial 16S ribosomal RNA
Rfam family: Bacterial small subunit ribosomal RNA
Source: RNAcentral